RNAcentral lists this ribosomal RNA (433 nucleotides) under uncultured bacterium. RNAcentral describes it as "partial 16S ribosomal RNA". It matches the Rfam family "Bacterial small subunit ribosomal RNA", at positions 29 to 507 of the family's 1533-position model. The record is from RNAcentral.
AGCGAACGCUGGCGGCAGGCUUAACACAUGCAAGUCGAGCGGGCACUUCGGUGUCAGCGGCAGACGGGUGAGUAACACGUGGGAACGUACCCUUCGGUUCGGAAUAACGCUGGGAAACUAGCGCUAAUACCGGAUACGCCCUUUUGGGGAAAGGUUUACUGCCGAAGGAUCGGCCCGCGUCUGAUUAGCUAGUUGGUGGUGUAAUGGCAUACCAAGGCGACGAUCAGUAGCUGGUCUGUGAGAAUGAUCAGCCACACUGGGACUGAGACACGGCCCAGACUCCUGCGGGAGGCAGCCGUGGGGAAUAUUAGAAAACGAACGCAAGCAUGCUCCAGCCAUGCCGCGUAAGUGAUGAAGGCCUUAGGGUUGUAAAGCUCUUUUGUCCGGGACGAUAAUGACGGUACCGGAAGAAUAAGCCCCGGCUAACUUCGUG